This 440-nucleotide ribosomal RNA is filed under the name uncultured bacterium. RNAcentral's name for it is "partial 16S ribosomal RNA". It matches the Rfam family "Bacterial small subunit ribosomal RNA", at positions 338 to 795 of the family's 1533-position model. The record is from RNAcentral.
CCUACGGGGGGCAGCAGUGGGGGAUAUUGCACAAUGGGGGGAACCCUGAUGCAGCGACGCCGCGUGGGUGAAGAAGCGCCUCGGCGCGUAAAGCCCUGUCAGCAGGGAAGAAAAUGACGGUAACUGAAGAAGAAGCCCCGGCUAACUACGUGCCAGCAGCCGCGGUAAUACGUAGGGGGCAAGCGUUAUCCGGAUUUACUGGGUGGAAAGGGGGCGCAGACGGCGAUGCAAGCCAGGAGUGAAAGCCCGGGGCCCAACCCCGGGACUGCUCUUGGAACUGCGUGGCUGGAGUGCAGGAGGGGCAGGCGGAAUUCCUGGUGUAGCGGUGAAAUGCGUAGAUAUCAGGAGGAACACCGGUGGCGAAGGCGGCCUGCUGGACUGCAACUGACGUUGAGGCCCGAAAGCGUGGGGAGCAAACAGGAUUAGAUACCCCAGUAGUC